GAUGAACGCUGGCGGCGUGCCUAAUACAUGCAAGUCGAGCGAACGGACGAGGAGCUUGCUCUUCUGAUGUUAGCGGCGGACGGGUGAGUAACACGUGGAUAACCUACCUAUAAGACUGGGAUAACUUCGGGAAACCGGAGCUAAUACCGGAUAAUAUUUUGAACCGCAUGGUUCAAAAGUGAAAGACGGUCUUGCUGUCACUUAUAGAUGGAUCCGCGCUGCAUUAGCUAGUUGGUAAGGUAACGGCUUACCAAGGCAACGAUGCAUAGCCGACCUGAGAGGGUGAUCGGCCACACUGGAACUGAGACACGGCCCAGACUCCUACGGGAGGCAGCAGUAGGGAAUCUUCCGCAAUGGGCGAAAGCCUGACGGAGCAACGCCGCGUGAGUGAUGAAGGUCUUCGGAUCGUAAAACUCUGUUAUUAGGGAAGAACAUAUGUGUAAGUAACUGUGCACAUCUUGACGGUACCUAAUCAGAAAGCCACGGCUAACUACGUG
This 497-nucleotide ribosomal RNA is filed under the name uncultured bacterium. Its description in RNAcentral is "partial 16S ribosomal RNA". It matches the Rfam family "Bacterial small subunit ribosomal RNA", at positions 28 to 507 of the family's 1533-position model. The record is from RNAcentral.